This is a small nuclear RNA of Bos grunniens (domestic yak), 126 nucleotides long. The record is from Ensembl. NCBI's taxonomy places the organism in Eukaryota, Metazoa, Chordata, Mammalia, Artiodactyla, Bovidae.
GUGUUGUAUGAAAGGAGAGAAGGUUAGCGCUCCCCUUGACAAGGAUGGAAGAAACUCUGGAGCCCGACAGCAUGCAUAUGGUCAAGGCAUUGCCACCUACUUCAUGGCAUCUAACCAUGGGGCUUU